RNAcentral lists this transfer RNA (75 nucleotides) under Massilia aquatica. Its description in RNAcentral is "tRNA-Ser". It matches the Rfam family "tRNA". Rfam says of the family: Transfer RNA (tRNA) molecules are approximately 80 nucleotides in length. Their secondary structure includes four short double-helical elements and three loops (D, anti-codon, and T loops). RNAcentral also lists the same sequence under 1 other name. The record is from RNAcentral. Lineage: Bacteria; Pseudomonadati; Pseudomonadota; Betaproteobacteria; Burkholderiales; Oxalobacteraceae.
UCCGGAAUAGCUCAAUGGCAGAGCACUUGGCUUGAGACUAAGUAGGUGCUGGUUCGAUUCCAGCUUCUGGACCCA